AUAAAGUUUUUAAAUUUGCUCUGGCUGAAUUUUUCAAUGAAAAAACAAUAUGUGUGCCAUAAAUGUAAUCUGUUUUUCAUGGGGUAUCUAUGAAAGUUUGGUGUAUUGGCCAAAUCAUUUGCAAGCAUCUUGCUAUUAAACUGCCAUACGUAAAGUCACGCUUUUAAAAGUAACUGAAAGCAGCUGAAAAUAAGAAUUUUUGAUGAACUUUCUUACUUUGGUUGGAGGAGAUGAGAAACAACUUACAGCGGCAAUCUUAAUACAGCUAAUGGCCAAAGAAAUAUGUUUUUCAUACUCAGUGUAUGGAAUGAAACAAAAACGUCCUGCAAGGUCGUUAUAGAGUUGCGUUUAGUCGUUUAUCGUUGUAUUUGUUCAUUUCGAAAUCGUUACUGACAAAAGUAUUAAAGAAAAAAUUGGCAGCUUUCUGGCGACGGCCAUUAAUAGAGAUUACGGAAGAAAAAUAGAACCGUAACUGAGCAACGCCCAAUAUUGAGCAAUGAAAUAAGUAUCGCCAAUAUAAUGAAAGUCGAUGCCCACUAUCUCAUAGUGAGAGUAUAAUACAG
Molecule: long non-coding RNA, 563 nt
Organism: Hydra vulgaris (swiftwater hydra)
Lineage: Eukaryota; Metazoa; Cnidaria; Hydrozoa; Anthoathecata; Hydridae
Source: RefSeq, a predicted model, not a curated record